AUCAAUGGCCAUACCAGUCUGAAAAUGCCUGAUCUCGUCAGAUCUCAGAAGCUAUCCAGACUUGGGCGGGAGACCAACUAGGAACCUCAGGUGCCAUAAGUU
Non-coding RNA from Pelobates cultripes (western spadefoot toad), 102 nucleotides. Lineage: Eukaryota; Metazoa; Chordata; Amphibia; Anura; Pelobatidae. The record is from the annotation of a GenBank genome assembly.